UUAUACCGUGAAACUGCGAAUGGCUCAUUAAAUCAGUUAUCGUUUAUUUGAUAGUACCUUACUACUUGGAUAACCGUGGUAAUUCUAGAGCUAAUACAUGCUGAAAACCCCAACUUCGGGAGGGGUGUAUUUAUUAGAUAAAAAACCAACGCCCUUCGGGGCUUCUUGGUGAUUCAUGAUAACUUUACGGAUCGCAUGGCCUUGCGCCGGCGACGGUUCAUUCAAAUUUCUGCCCUAUCAACUUUCGAUGGUAAGGUAUUGGCUUACCAUGGUUUCAACGGGUAACGGGGAAUUAGGGUUCGAUUCCGGAGAGGGAGCCUGAGAAACGGCUACCACAUCCAAGGAAGGCAGCAGGCGCGCAAAUUACCCAAUCCCGACACGGGGAGGUAGUGACAAUAAAUACUGAUACAGGGCUCUUUUGGGUCUUGUAAUUGGAAUGAGUACAAUUUAAACCUCUUAACGAGGAACAAUUGGAGGGCAAGUCUGGUGCCAGCAGCCGCGGUAAUUCCAGCUCCAAUAGCGUAUAUUAAAGUUGUUGCAGUUAAAAAGCUCGUAGUUGAAACUUGGGUCUGGCUGGCAGGUCCGCCUCACCGCGUGUACUUGUCCGGCCGGGCCUUCCUUCUGGAGAACCUCAUGCCCUUCACUGGGCGUGUUGGGGACCAGGACUUUUACUUUGAAAAAAUUAGAGUGUUCAAAGCAGGCCUUUGCUCGAAUACGUUAGCAUGGAAUAAUAGAAUAGGACGUGCGGUCCUAUUUUGUUGGUUUCUAGGACCGCCGUAAUGAUUAAUAGGGACAGUCGGGGGCAUCAGUAUUCAAUUGUCAGAGGUGAAAUUCUUGGAUUUAUUGAAGACUAACUACUGCGAAAGCAUUUGCCAAGGGAUGUUUUCAUUAAUCAGUGAACGAAAGUUAGGGGAUCGAAGACGAUCAGAUACCGUCGUAGUCUUAACCGUAAACUAUGCCGACUAGGGAUCGG
Molecule: ribosomal RNA, 973 nt
Filed under: Camarosporioides phragmitis
Lineage: Eukaryota; Fungi; Ascomycota; Dothideomycetes; Pleosporales; Phaeosphaeriaceae
Description: SSU rRNA
Rfam family: Eukaryotic small subunit ribosomal RNA
Source: RNAcentral